RNAcentral lists this long non-coding RNA (207 nucleotides) under Mytilus galloprovincialis (Mediterranean mussel). Lineage: Eukaryota; Metazoa; Mollusca; Bivalvia; Mytilida; Mytilidae. The record is from RNAcentral.
CAUCAUUGAAUUGAGUUCCACAUCAGUAUUGGUGUAUCAAAGUGAUUCGCUUGCACUUAAUUGCCCAGGUCAACAAACCACUUUACCUGGUUGCAAGUUCUGUGUUAUUCAGUUACCGUGCAAGUGUUCACUGUCUACAGUAUCUUCAUAUUUACCUCCCAGAUUGGUCAAUUGUUAUAACAAGACCUCAGAACUGUCAGUGUUCCA